GAUGAACGCUGGCGGCGUGCUUAACACAUGCAAGUCGAACGGAAAGGCCCAGGCUUGCUUGGGUACUCGAGUGGCGAACGGGUGAGUAACACGUGGGUGAUCUGCCCUGCACUUCGGGAUAAGCCUGGGAAACUGGGUCUAAUACCGGAUAGGACCACUUCUUGGAUGUUGUGGUGGAAAGUUUUUUCGGUGUGGGAUGGGCUCGCGGCCUAUCAGCUUGUUGGUGGGGUAAUGGCCUACCAAGGCGUCGACGGGUAGCCGGCCUGAGAGGGUGUACGGCCACAUUGGGACUGGGAUACGGCCCAGACUCCUACGGGAGGCAGCAGUGGGGAAUAUUGCACAAUGGGCGCAAGCCUGAUGCAGCGACGCCGCGUGGGGGAUGACGGCCUUCGGGUUGUAAACUCCUUUCGCUAGGGACGAAGCGUUUUGUGACGGUACCUGGAGAAGAAGCACCGGCUAACUACGUG
Molecule: ribosomal RNA, 467 nt
Filed under: uncultured bacterium
Lineage: Bacteria
Description: partial 16S ribosomal RNA
Rfam family: Bacterial small subunit ribosomal RNA
Source: RNAcentral